RNAcentral lists this ribosomal RNA (253 nucleotides) under uncultured bacterium. RNAcentral's name for it is "partial 16S ribosomal RNA". It matches the Rfam family "Bacterial small subunit ribosomal RNA", at positions 524 to 776 of the family's 1533-position model. The record is from RNAcentral.
UACGUAGGGACCAAGCGUUGUUCGGAUUUACUGGGCGUAAAGGGCGCGUAGGCGGCGCGGUAAGUCACUUGUGAAAUCUCUGAGCUUAACUCAGAACGGCCAAGUGAUACUGCAGUGCUAGAGUGCGGAAGGGGCAAUCGGAAUUCUUGGUGUAGCGGUGAAAUGCGUAGAUAUCAAGAGAAACACCUGAGGUGAAGACGGGUUGCUGGGCCGACACUGACGCUGAGGCGCGAAAGCCAGGGGAGCAAACGGG